This 14453-nucleotide long non-coding RNA is filed under the name Setaria italica (foxtail millet). RNAcentral's name for it is "long non-coding RNA (SITA_LNC003553)". The record is from RNAcentral. Lineage: Eukaryota; Viridiplantae; Streptophyta; Magnoliopsida; Poales; Poaceae.
CCGGCGGCUCUUCACCAGAUCCAGUGGCGCCGUGCGGUAUCCUCCGGCGAUGGGUCACCCACGUCCUGUUCGUGGAUGGCGCCGUCGGCGCUACCUGACCUCGGCGACAGAGGAAGGUGGAGAGAGCAUAAAACGUUGUGCGGGUGUGGCGAGCGGCAACCGGGCCCUGACUAAUGCAAGUUGCCUCCGAUCCGAACAUGAAUGUAAAUCCAAUCCUUGCACAUGCUCGCACUUGUAGCAGGCAGGCAGCCAGCAGGAUCUUGUUCCUCUUCAUCUUGUUGUUUUUUUAAGAAAAAAAGGGGACCUUUGUGCUUACUGCUUAUAUGCAUAUGCUUCUCCGAGAGGAAGCUUCAUUUUAGCUGUCAGAUCUCACGGAUUCCUUUCUGAUCGAUCAUGCCUACUCCGAUGCUAUCAAGGAUAAUUGAUUGAUUUCUUUUAAAAUUUGUGUGCGUGCCUACUCCGAUCCUAAGUACGAGACCGAUUCCUAUAAGGACAGGGAUCGAAUUCGAUCAGGAAUCAUCCAUCGACCACGAAUAUAUAUAUAGAUUGUUAUUGCCAAGCCCCUAACUCGUGGUCAUUUUCCUUGCUGCUUGUGCUUGGCGCCAUGGGGUUGAAGACGGCCAGUAAGAGGAAGAGGAAGAGGGAUACACCUGAGCUGUUCGACGAGAUCGUCUGGGAGAUCUUAAUCCGGCUGCCUGUGAAAUCCCUGGUGAGGUUCAGAUCCGUCAGCAAGGCCUGGCGCGCCAUCAUCUCCGACCCCUCCUUUGUUCGUGCGCACCUCCACUUCUGCAGACAGACCCAGCAUCAGAACCCAUCUUUCCUCAUCAGCCCCCAUUUUAAUCUGCAGCGACGGGGUCGUGCAACUGCCAAGGCUCUCUCCACCAACAUCCGCUUCUACCAAUGACAUUUAAAAAAGGAGACUUGGAGCACUGCAACGCUUGUCUACGGGAGGCACUUCCCAGCUGGCGAGUUUGGGACGGUGUCCCAAAUGGUACACUGCGAUGGCUUGGUCUUGCUCUCCACCAACACCAAGGCCUACGUCUUCAACCCGGCCACAAGGGACGCCAUUGCGCUGCCAGAGAGCAAGCGCAACGCGCUGCCGCUGCAUGAUACGUGCCUUCCUAUAGGCUUGGGUAUGGAUGCUUCCACAGGCAGAUACAAGGUUGCACGCGCUUUCUAUCGCCCCAGCGACGACGAUCCCACGAGGAUGGCUGCCAUGGGCAUGGAGGUCUUCACCAUUGGUGGCGAAGACGGCUCCUGGAGGGAAACCUUGGAGGAUCCACCCUACCUCAUGGCGAGCUUCUGGCAGGCCGCCGCACAUUGCAAGGGUUGCCUAUUUUAUUUCAUUGAUAAGAAAAACCAUCAAAAUCCCCCGCAGGGGCUAAUCCGUUUCAAUCUUCAAGACGAAACGUUCGGUAUCACUCCAUUGAUUCCCGACCUGCUUCCUCAAGUUGAAGAUGAUGAUAUUGCUUUGAGCGAGCUUGAUGGGGAGCUAUGCGCUUGUUUCUUCUCCAAGUGGUUGCAACGACUAAUGAUCUUUACAACAGGAGAUAUCUUGGAUCGUUCGGACGAUGCGCAUUGGAGAUGCCGUUAUGUGAUCGAUUUACCUGAAUGCCAUCCAAUGGCCUUACAUGGCAGUGGGGGGAUUCUAAUGCGACUAGGUCACUGCCUCUUCCGCUACGACUUGGGAGCUCACGGCAUACAAGGCAAAGAUGACUUUCAUUGGAUGGAUCGCCUAAAAUACGUUGGGCUGCGUUGCCGGGGGCGCGCAUGGAAAAACCUAUGCUUCUUCAACCUAAGUUCUUACACGGAAAGCCUUGUUCCACUUAAUGCUAAGGCGAGCUCGCAGGCCUUGCAGUAAUGGGUAAACUUUGCCCACCAUCUUUGAUGGAUGCAACAUUAGUCUCAGGCAAAGCGAGCUGUUUGCAUGCGAGUUCUAUAUUGUUACCUUAGAAACAUUCCGAUUUGUGCUUAUCAUGGUCUUCAGUUGUAAUUGUAUUAAGGUUGCCGUUGGCAUUUCUCCAUGGAACUCACUCUGUUGAAUCAUUCUGUGCUGAAUAAAAAUUACUGUGUCAAUCGUUUGGCUACGCUGUGGGAUUUUCUUUCCAGAAAGAGUGUUGCCACUCAUGUUAGCUUGUUUAAUGGAUGAAAAAUUAAAAUGGUUUGCCUAGAAUGUGAAAAAAAAAAUUCCUGUUCACCGCACUAUAGUAUAACAACGCCCAUUCUCUAGCCAUCCCCGUCCUGCCAAAAUGAGCACUUCUAUGCAUUUGUGAGUGGGUUUUUUGAAUUCGAAUCAAACUGAUGGAUUAAAUGCAAACACCAACAUUGCGAACAACCUACGCAAAUCUAACACAGGGCAUGUGCUAGUAGGUAUUUUUUGUGAAAUAGUGUAUCGCGAAUCAUCACCACCAGAGCCAACAAAAACUGGCGUGCGAUGCAACAGCUAAGUUAAUUCGUGCACAACUGACAAUAAACCAUCAACAGACGCCAAUGCUUACAUCUUCAAAACAAAAGCCAUCGUGACAUAACAUCUCCCAGAAUGCCCCCAUGCAACACAAAAAACAUAUGGUAAUAUGGGAACCAAAUGAAGCAACACUAUCUCUUCUGCGUUUUUUUUUGAAGAAACAGGAGGGUGACCCCUACUGAUUAUAUAAAUAAAAGUUAAAACCGGUACAAAGCAGCAAACAAAGCAGAAAAGAAAAAAGGAGCAACAAAAGGUCUACAAAUAAAACAAAAAAAGGAGGAGAAAGAAGAAAAGGGUCCAUCGGUAGGUUACAAAGCGUCAACCCAUUCUAACAUCUGUGGUUGCAAGAGGGGCCUAGCCCUAUGAAGCGCUACCUGACGAAACUCUGAAAUGAAUUUCCUUGUGACGUCUCUGAUCGCCGGAGCCACGUUAUUGAAAGUCCAGUCAUUUCUGGAUGUCCAGAUACUCCAAGACAUGAGGAUUAUUAUUUCCAUAGAGAAGGGUAAAUGUAGCUGCCUUCUAAUAUUAAGGAAGAUGGAGAGGGCCGAUCUGGUGGAGGGGUAAGAGAUACCGACCGAGCGCCAACAAGCCUUGGCAAAGUUGCAUCGUAGGAAGAGAUGUGCUGCCGUCUCACGUUUUUGUAGGAUGCACAUUUCACACCCUGUGGAAUCCAAAGCCAUGGAUCUCCUGCUGAGGACAUCUUUGGUGUUGACUCUGUCUUUCAUGAGUAGCCAAAAGAAGAUUUUGUGUUUGUUUUGACAUUUUGAUCUCCAUAACCAGCUGAAUAUUGGGUGAGCUCCUCUUUCCCCAAUAAGGGUUUUGUAUAUCCUAGAGGUUGAGAAGAUAGGAUUACCCCAGGUGUACACCCAUAUGUCUUGGGGCUGUGAAUUGUCUAUCUGAUGUAAGAUUCCUUGUAAUUGUGCGAGCUGAUCAUGUGCCUCUGCUGACAAAGGUAGCUGCACUGUGUCCAGCAAAGAGCCUUGCAAGACCUUCUUGAGCGUGAUUCUUUCAUAUUUUGCAUAGGAAGCUAGCUGUGGAAGAUCACGAGAUAGGAGAUGGCUGUUCCAAGUAUCUUUCCAGAACAGGACUGUUCCACCAUCAGAGACUCUAGCAGAAGCUAUCCCCUUGUAUAAAGCGAUGAGUUUCACUAUGUCUCGCCACCAGAAGGAACCUUUCCUACGUCCUCCAGGGAGAUUACCGUGCUGAUAAUAGCUUUCCCAUAGAAGGUGUACCCAGGGAGUGUCCUCUUGGGAGUAAAAUUUGUGCAGGAAUUUGAGCAGAAGAGCUUCAUUUUGAUUCUGGAGGUUGAUGACCCCCAAUCCCCCUUGUUUCUUGGGCAGACACACCAGAGGCCAAGCCGCUUUAGAUGGUUUCCUAGAUGUCAAGUCUGAACCUCUCCAGAGACAAUGCUUUCUGAAUUUAUCAAUCUGUGCAAUAACCCCUUUUGGAAGUUUAAAGGUGGCCAUAUGAAACAUUACUAUUGAUGUUAAAACCGAAUUGACAAGAUGUAGUUUUCCACCUUGGGAUAACAUAGAAGAAAUACCACCCAACUUUCUUUCGACCUUCUUAAUAACUGGGAGGAAGUCUUCAAAUUUUGGUUUGGUCAUUCCCAGGGGUAAGCCAAGAUAAGUAAAGGGGAGGGAACCAGCUUGACAAUUGAGCACGUUGGCUAGAACCUGCAGGGUUUCUGGACUUGUGUUUAUAGGAACCAUAACUGUUUUGGCAAAGUUGACCUUCAAUCCAGUAGAUUCAGCAAACAUGUCUAGGAUGGAUUUUAAGUGUAGAAGUUGACUUUGAUCUGCUUCCAUGAUUAACAGAGUGUCAUCUGCAUAUUGAAUGACAGGGAAAUCUGUGCCCGCUCCAUUUUCAAUGGGCAAACGAAUUCUGCCUUCCUCUUUGGCUCUAUUUAGGAUGGACUGUAAGUGGUCUGCCGCUAACACAAAGAGAAGUGGCGAAAGAGGAUCACCCUGCCUGACUCCCCUCUUGCAGUGAAAAACUUUCCCCGGGACCCCAUUCAGAAUUACCGAGGAGGUUCCUGAGGUAAGAAUGCUUUCAAUCCAUUUGAUCCAUCUGUUUCCAAAGCCCUUAUGCUUUAGGAUUUCCAGUAUUGCCCGAUGUUCAAUUUUGUCAAAGGCCUUUUCAAAAUCCAGUUUAAGAAUGACCAAGUCCUUCCUAGAGGCUUUACAGAUGUGUAGGAACUCAAAAGCCCAUGCCAAGCAGUCCUGGAUGCUUCUGGUCCUAAUGAAACCAUAUUGAUUUUUAUGAACUAGUUCUGGUAUGACCUUCUGAAGUCUCUCAGCUAGAAUUUUUGUGAUAAGCUUGAUUGAUGAGUUAAGGAGAGAAAUAGGCCUGAAGUCCCCCACCUCCAGAGGACAGUCCUUUUUCGGGAUAAGAGUACUAUAUGAAGAGUUGAUACUCCUUACACAUACUUCUCCAUCAUAGAAAGCAUCACAAAGGGAGUAGAAUUCAGGGGCUAUCAGAUGCCAGCAUUUCUUUAUAAACUCACCAUUAAAACCAUCUGGACUAGGGGAUUUGUUAGCAGGUAAAUCCUUAAUAACAUUAUCGAUUUCCUGUCUUGAAAAGGGUGAUUCCAACCGCUCCAGGUGAUUUGAGGGGAUUAGAAGGGAUUGGAGGUCAAAAUACAUAUGGGUGAAAUUGCUCCUGCCCAUCCUGUCUCUGAAGGCUUCCCACAGCAAGGUAGCUUUGACGUGAUGAUCCUUAAAUUGCUGGCCGGAUUGGUCUUGCAGACAGGUGAUAUGAUUGAGUUUGUUUCUGAUAGAGGCCCUUGCAUGGAAGAAGUGAGUGCUUUCAUCUCCCAGUUUAACCCAAUUGAUGGAGCUUCUCUGCUUCCAAUAAAUCUUCUGUUGUUGUAAAAGAGAGGUCAGAUGUGAAGAGAUUACAUCCCUGAAAUUCCACUCCUCCAGAGUUAGAUCCCUGAAUUCUUCCAUGACAUCAAGGAAGAAAAGCACAUCCUUUGUGUUUUGAAUAGUUUUGGCUAAACUCUGCAGAUUUGAUUUCCAAGCUCUCAGCUCCUUUCGUAGAUUCUUGAAUUUAGCUCCAAUGAUCCUAGCCUUGUCACUAUAAGGUGGGUCAUAGUUCCAACCCCUUUGCAAAAGUACUGGGAAUUGCUCGUGAUGUAGCCAAUAGUUUUCAAACCUGAACAGCUGAGGUGCUGGAAUGUGGGUUGAAGCUGAAAUAACACAGGGAUUAUGAUCCGAUGAAUCUCUAGAAAGGACAGAGGCACAAGUGUUGGGGUAUUUGGAUAUCCAGGAUGAGAAAGAGAAAAACCAGUCUAAUCUCUCCAGGAGGGGACUGACUUGUUUGUUGGUCCAGGUGUAUUUUCCCCCUUUUAACUGAAUUUCAUUUAGGCUUAAACGGCUGAUGGCAUCAUUGAAGAGAAACAUAUCUUGAAGAUUACCCCCUGGCUUAUUUCUAUUUUCCGGCCUUCUUAACAGAUUAAAGUCACCCACAACGAGCCAACGUUCCUCCUCAGGCAUAUCAAUACGUUUGAACCACCUUAAAAAUUCGACUUUUCCAUCUGGGGUACAGGGGGCAUAGAUGUUGUUAUAAUCCAGGAGUCCCCAGAGAGUUUGCAAUGAAAUUCUAUGGACUGAGCAAACCUAUUCUGAAAGAGAGGUUCUCCUCUGAGUUUAUCAUUAUUCCAAAAGACCAAUAGGCCACCUGAAUUCCCAAUUGACGGGACAAAAUCAAACUGAUUGAACUUUGUGCAACAAAAAUUCCUCAGAUAGGCUUCAGAGAAGGAGUCUCUUUUGGUUUCUUGUAAGCAGAUAAUAUCAGCCUUAGAUUCAGCGAUUUUACUUCUAAUGGCAUUCCAUCUAGUCACCGAAUUGAUGCCCCUCACAUUCCAAGACAAAAUAUUCCAUGAUCUUCUAGUAUUCAUUUAAAUCAGGGGGGGAGCUAACUGAAUCUUUAUGCCUAUCUUCAUGAAACAUAAGAGGCAAGAAACAAAAGGGGGGUAAAAGGCACAGCUGAUGAACAAACGACUGAGGCACAUAAAACCCAGCAACUUCCAGAAAAGAUAACCGACCACAAAGAGGAAUGGCCAUACAAGUUUUAUGGGACGACAUAAAAGAGUUCAUCACAGAGUCACUAGAUAAGCAGGUCCAAAGAGUUAACCACAUAAGCCAACAUAAGACAAAAGACAUGAUAGCGGCCUCAGAUCUCCUUAGACUCCGUUGGAGCUGUUGGACGAAGCUUCUGACAGGACCUCCUUCCCCUUGCUGUAAGCUUCAGAAAAUCUUGUGGUCGUCGUCCUCCCUAUGGGCUUCUGAGAUCCGGAGUUGAAGGACAGCUUUCCCGGGCCAAUCUUAGUUCUGUCGAGCGCACACACCUUUGUACCUAAGCUCUGGAUGACAUCAGCGCUGAUUGUAGGUGGGCAAGCAGUGCAAGCUAAGCAUGUGUUGUCCUGACAAGAAGAUCUGCGAAAACCUUUGCUCUUAGCUUUGAUGCGGUCACUCCUUCUGACCGAGGAUUCACAUUCUGGUGCCGCUUUGAUGCUCAAACGAGCUCUGGCUUUUUUAGGUGACCUUGCUUCCUUCAAAUCAGGUUUAGCUGCCUUACAGAGUUCAGGGGUCGAAGUUCCCACCUCUUCCUGAGAGAGCGAGCAGAUGAAGGGAGUAGAACUUGGGCAUUUCUGAGGAAUAGCAAAAGCCAUCAAAGCUGUCUGGUUGGAGCACGAGAGCAGAAAUUCCCAGGUCUUGGAGGCCAGAAACUGCUUAGCCCAAUCAAAAUGUUCUGGAGACAUGAGCAUAUUGAUAAAGAAAGCAGCCCAAUCAGAAGGUAUCUGGGUCACCUGCUCAGGACAUCCAACAGGAGAGAAGUGUUGGGCCCAAAGUCUAUAAACAUUGGGGUUCUGCCCAGGCCUUUGCUUUUCCAUGUUAAAGUCCUUGGGAGUGGAGAGACAGUCUGGUAAGAGCGAUGACAUGCUGCCCGUGAUAUUCUUGGGCAGGUGGGAGAAGUUCACCUGCUGAUCUUGAGUGAGGACCAUGUUUAUAUUGAGAUUAACAAACAUAUGACCCUCUUGGGCCACAUUCUGACCAAGACCUACUCCCUCUUGAAUAGGAGCCUGCAGCCCAAGGACAACUUCCUGGGCACCUUGAUUCCCUUCCUGAGCCCCCAUCUGGACCAUGUUGCCAUCUUCUGCGUUUGCACACUCAACUUGGUGGCAGAACGCAGCUGCCUCUGUUGGUGCCUUAGUGGUGUGCCCCUAACCCUUGGUUGGAGGUUCCUCCCCCGGCCACAGCACUGUAUCCUGAAUCUGAUCUCUGCAGUCUUCUGGCCCUAUCCUUGGAUGAUAAUUUUGCCCCUCCAACUGAUGCUCAAAGUUUCCAGGAGGGCUGAAUGCAAUCCCAGUGCCCCUUUCACCAUAGUACUCGGACCUCGCACGUGGAGAAGGCAUUCCCUGUGGUGGCCGCAGUGUGUGGUGCAUGGCAGAUCUGUACAUGUGGCCACUGCCACGCCCAGAACUCAAUCCUGGUGAAGACAUCGCCUGAUCAGUAACCCUGGGACAGUAAAAGUUUACAGGAGACCUGUAAGGCGUUGCCUGACCUGUAGCCCUGGUUGUGUAGAAACUUCCAGGAGGCCUGUCAUGUGUUGACUCGCCUGAAACCUGAGCCUUGUGAUCUUGUUUCAGAAUCCGUUUACCUUCACCUCCAUAGGACGAAGAGCCAGCAUGCUGUAGCAACAUACGUAACCAAAACAUAUCAAUCAAUCACAUCUAAACAAGCUAUGCACCACAUUUAAUAACUGAUGAAAUAGAUGUUAAGUAAUAUGCACCUUGUUAAUGAUGUCUGACAUAAUUCCUUUAGCAUUGUUUACUUCUUCUAAGGUACCACGGAUCCUGAAUUUACUUUCAUGCUUUAUAUGCUGUAAAAAAGUUUUUUAUUAAGGCCAGUUAUGGGAAGCACGCCUGAACUUUAAAUCUACGGAAGGAGGGGGGGGGGGGGGGGGGGAGGGGGGAUUGAUCAUACACUAAUACGAGCACCAGACUCAUGUUCUAUGCUUUGCACUCUUCGGCCACCGCUCCCAAUGAUCAGCCCGAUCUAAUGACAAAAGAAAAUCUUAGAAUAUGCAAGGAAAAAGGCUCGAGUUUGGUCUCUCAACUCUUCAAUUAGUUUAACUGUGAGUCCUCAUCUUCGAUACCUGUCACAUUUGGUCCCUUAUCUGGGAACACCAGGCAACUCUAGUCCCUGUGCUCAUUUCCUGCUGGUUUUGCAAACCUAGCAGAAGCCAGAACCACCAUGGCCCAUACCCACCAUCCGACAUCAGUGCAUGCCCCUCUCUCUUCGCCUUCUUUGUUUUUUUCUCUCUUUCCCAAUGGGAACACCAGCAGGCCCAGUCCAGCUGCUGCACUGCAAUCCCACUGCCCAUCAGUGUUGCAGUGCACCCGAUAUACGGCCAUAAGAUGCAUCUGGACAUUGCUUAGCAAAUUGCGAAAAGUCUGCGAAUCACAAGUGCUAAUUUGGCAUGCAGUACCAGCCCCAGGUACUUGUUACUCCAAUAAAUCCAAUGAGUGGCGACCUCAUUGCAAUCAUGGAACAUGGCUAAUAAAUACUCAAAGAGGGCACUCCUUAUACAGGACCAGCAAGGGCAAUGACCAAAAGACCUUCCAUUGAGCUUGCCAUCAACUAGACAUGGCUCACAGAUAGGAGUUUGUCAUGGCUACAGCCUACAGGGGUAGGAGUAGCAACUGCACACAAUAUUGUCCGUUGACUUGACAACCGGAUGGUUCAGAUCUACUUCUAUACUACCUAAAAAAACACAUGUGCUACCAUGUCCUCUGCUACAAUAUAGAAAAAAGAGAGAGUUCCUAACACGUCAGCUCUACCAUGUCAAUCGGAGUCAACUAUGCACAUCAGCAAAAGAGCCAUGGACAGCGAACAAGGACUACUCUUGCCUGGUAUUAGAAGAUGGAGGACUAAAGAUGACUGGUAAAAGAUAAGAGACAAAAAUCAAACUACAAAAAGAGACACGGUACCAAUCUUACUUUUUCUUAUUAGCAAACUAGCAACUAGGAGUUAAGACUCACCAUGUGCUGUGGGACAGAAAAAUGAAUUUCUACACCACCAUCUGUUGCACCUUCAAUAUAUGUUUCAUUUUCCUGUGAAAGAUGAUACAGUGACCUCCAUACCGUUGUAUCCAAAUCAAAUAAAAUGUACACAGCAAAACUGAAUAGAUACCUUGGAAACGGCUUCCGUGAUGAGUUGCACAGCCGUAGUUAUCUCCCUGAGUGUACCCCGGAUUUCAACCGGGCAGGGGUCAGGAAAUUUACCUCUCCAGUGCCCAUCUGGAUUUAUUCUAAUAAUUGCAGAGGAUCUUAUUUUAAUCCUUUCGAUUGUAUUUCCACCCGUGCCAAUAAGCGCACCGACCUGGCAUAUUUACAUAAAAAAGAUCAAGAAUUAACACAACAAUGUUGUGCUGAAAAGAGUUCUAUAGCAUAAAAAGGAGAGCUAGAACACCUUAUUUGCAGGAAUAUAAAUUCUCCGAGAAGUAGUGGUAAGUGAAUCUUCUUCAUGUUCUAAUGAUGCAUCAUCUGGCUUCUUGGAAUGAUGACAGCUUUUGGGUUUCUCAUUCAAGGAACGUACCUAAGCAUAAUGGAUCUCUUUAAAUCAGAGGAAAAUAAACAAUUAUGUGUGCAUAAUUACAAAGAUAAAAAAUUAUUACAUUUUGUCGUUACUGUUUAUAGCUUUUAGCACCUUUGCUAGCCUUUGUAGCAUGUCUUUCCUCUGAGGAACUGGCCUCCUCAUCACUACUGCACAGAUUCAUAGCAGAUCAUGCAUCUAAAAAAAUUCAUAAAUAUGGAAGUUUAAGUUAAUGAUAAAAACAUGUAACCUUUCACCCAGGGGUAAAUCAAUAAGUGAUAUUUCCUCAUGGGAAGAAAUAACUUCCUGGUUUGUCAAUCCGGCAACAAGAUGAUGUUUCUGCAAAAACCUUUGGUGUCUACUUCUCCUGGUAAAUUUUCCAACAUAAUGGUAAAAUACAAGUAUAAACCCAAUUGAUGCAGACACUUUUAUGCAUUUACCGGGAACAUAACACAUCAUCUUAAUAUGAUAGGAGAGAAACAUUACAUUUCAAGUAUAUCUCCCAUCAGAGUUUCCAGCAGCUGCUGUGUUUUUGAAGAAUUAAAACCACACUCUGGAAGUCUAAUAAAUUUCCGGUCCUGCAUUUUUUUAAACGAGAUUUAGUAUCCUUUCUUGCACUUUCAUAACUCGUGAAAUGCCAAGUGGGCACGAAUUCCGCCAAUUUGCGAAAAAAUGAUAAGUUCAGUGUUACUACGAGUAUGUUAAGUACAGCUUCGAAAGGAACUUCUGACAGAUAGGAACGUUUGCUCGAAUUACCUCGAGUUCAACUAAAGGUGAACAAACCUUUCCUUCCAAUAUUGCUCUGGCCAAAUUACCUUUUAGUAUCUAAAUAGCAAUAUGAAAAGGACGUCAACACAACAAAAAUACGUAUAGAAAAGAGAAGAUGCUCAUGUUACCUGAGUUUUAUAUAUGUCUUCUUCAAUUGUCAUGCAGGUCACAAGCCUGUAUACGGUAACAUCCUCUUUUUGGCCAAUUCUAAAGACCCUGUCAGCUAUCUGAUUGUCAUCACUAUGGUAAACAAAUGUGUAAGUGACAUUGAACAAGGCAAUUAUUUUGUUAGACUCAGAGUGGCUUUAAAAUGGAAUUUUAUUAUGCAAAUUGUGCUGCACUGACCACGAAAGGGGUUUAGUAAUGAAAGAGGUCAAGUAGUUCAUGGUCGCAUGGAUUAUUAUCAAGCUUAGGUUCUUGUGGCAGGAAAAUGCAUGAAUUGUACAAGCAGAAUAGCUGUUGGGAAAAAGAUUGUGGACUAGACAGAAAUAUUGCCCAAAUAAAAAUCAACUGACGCAACAUUUCUAGCAAUUCCGUGAACAUAUAAACCUUAUGUUCCAUGACGGAUCAACGAUGAUAACCCUGGUUGCUGCAGUCAGGUUCAGGCCUUCACCACCCACUCUUGCACUGAGCAAAAAAAUUUUAGGAGCAUCUUCAACUUGAGAACUAAAUUUCUGCACAAUGAGAAGGUAAGUAAACAACAAGAAAUUAAGAGGGGAUAUAAGUACUCUUUGCAAAAAUAAAUAAGGAAUAACCUUAAUCUUUUGAUCUCUUUCUGUCCUCUCCAUGGAUCCAUCAAUUCGAAUAGUAUCACCUUCUUUUCCUAUAGCUUUAAGUGCUAUCUGCUUACAAUACAACAAAGUAAUAAAUUUUGCACAUCAAGUACAUGGAACAAAAAUUGUCUUCAAAUAUGCUCAACAAGCAUGUAAAAAGAAAAGUCAUGAACUGAUGGAGCUAUCACCUCUAUUCUAUCGAGCAUAGAAAUGAAUUGUGAGAAGAUAAGUAUCUUCAGGUUCUUGUUUUUCCUCAUACCCUGCAACAAAAGGUAAGAGUCUAUGUUUCGAUGCAAUGAAAGAAAGCAAACUAAUUGUUUAGAGGAAAUACCAGAUCCUUUUUUUUCUCAGCCUUCUCUUCCUCAAAUAGUUCAUUCUGCAACAAAAUAAAAGGUUGAGUUUCAAACAAAAAGAAAGAUAAUAUCCUAUAGCGAAGGAAAGGAAAAGCUCAAAAAAAAACUUACGUACCACAAGAUCCAAGAUGAAGGAAAUCUUGCAUGAAUUUUUAUAUUUUUUCCAAACUUCAUGAUCGAAUGACUCAAGCAAUCUUUUUGCUAACCUCCUAACUGAAUUCCCCUGGCCUCUAUCAAUUGCUUCUAACAGUAGCUCUGACCAUUGCAUAUGUGUCGACAGAUCUAUUUCAAAGACCAUAGAGAAUGGUAAAUACGUUCAUCACAUGACUAAGAUAACUGAUAAGCUUUACCAUGUAGGCUUACCACUCCCUGCGUGAUUGUUGACUUAUCUUCAUCAUACCAUGCAUGUGAUUCUUGGUCAAUAAUUUUGCAGAACCUUGAGUAAAUCUCAGCCAGUGCAUCAGUUGUCAUUAUAGACGCAUAAUAAAGAUAAGAAAGCUGCAGUAAGCAUGCACAGUGCAUAACUACGUAGAUAAAACUGCAGUACCACUAAACAUAGAGAAUACCUGAAGCUCUGUCAAUCUUAACCAAACAAUAAGCUCAGUAUUCUUACAGGGUAGCUCCCCACUUUCUAUUAGGACUGAUUUUGUUCUUCUGAGAAUAUAGGGAGAAAUUUCUUUUCUGCCACUCUGUACAAGAACAAGGCCACAGUUAACUUGGUUAGUUGGUAUGAACUAAUGACUGUAGCAUGCAAGAAAAAAUUUGUGCAAAAUUUACUGCAAGAGCUUUUAUAAAUCGUUUCUUAUUUCUUUCUGUAGAGUUCAAAUACUGUCCCAGCUCAGCAGGCCUCAUAUACUUCUUGUGAAAAGUGUGUUGGUCACCCAGGACAUCAGGUUUUAUGAAUUUCAUAAGAGAGAAUAUGUCCUGUUAGAAGCAAGAAGUAAAAAGAAGGGUAAGCCGUUGAAGAGGGUGGGGUGUGUGUUGGGGGUUGGGGGAACGUACUAAGAGGUUUCUUGGCAAUGGAGUCCCUGUCAAAAGAAGUUUUUUCCUGCAUUCAAUGUUAUCCACUUGUUUUCUUACAUUGGACAUGAGGUUCUUUAUUCUGUGAGCUUCAUCGAGAAUUGUGUAGUCCCAAUCCACUGCUGUCAGCUCCUUAAACUUGCUUCCAUAAGUUUCAUAAGUUGUUACCAAAAUACCUCCUCUCUGAAAAGAAGAAAACAUGUUAAAAGGCAGUCGCAGAUAAACACAGAAUUAAGAAUAUCUCGAAAUGAAAUGAAAUAUAACCUCGUUCACAAUUUGCAGGCCUCUUUCACCAGAACCAUGAUAGAUGUGAAAAUGUUUGGCUAGCCCUGCAUUUGUAAGCUCCUCUGACCAUGAGGCAAGGACACUUACUGGAACAAUAAUCAUAGCCCUGCGAAUUAUAUCGGAAUGCAGAAGACCGGAUAGGAAUGCUACAGUCUGAAGUGAGGAAAACAAAUAAAUGUGUUACAAACACAAUGGCUCAGUGAUUUGAAACCAUCAUCUUAAAAAGAGCUCACAAGAUCAUUGGAAAAUAUAAAUAAUACAGCAUCCCAAAGCAGAUAAAGUAUUUUGUGAUCCAUUCAACUGACCAGUUGAAAUACUGAAGAAAUCCAAUAAAAUACAUUGCAAAGGUGUGUCAGAUGUCAAUUGACAUGUGAUAUACUUCAUUCGUCCCAAAUUACUAUUCGUUUUAGCUUUUCUAGAUACACACCUUUUGGCAUGCACCUAGAUAUAUACUUAUGUCUAGAUACAUAGCAAAAAUGAUGUACCUAGAAAAGCCAAAACGAAUAGUAAUUUGGGAUGGAGGGAGUAAUUGAGAAAAGGGGCAAUUAUUUAGAGGAAAUGGAAAUAUAACAGCAACGUAAAUCGAUCUUAGCUAAUAUGAUAUGCAAAUUAUAAAAUAAGAUGUACCUGCAGUGUUUUUCCCAUCCCCAUAUCAUCCGCAACAAUACCUCCAGAAUGCUGGCAAUAGAUUCUCCAAAGCCAGUGCAACCCCUCUUGCUGGUGGGGCUGGAGCUUCUGGUAAAGUCUACCAGGUACAAUGCAAACUUUGUCCAUGUUCCCCCCAAAAGGGUGCAUUUGCAAAUCCGGCAAGACAUGCUCAGCUAAGAAAGAAUGCAUCAAUAUCAGUACAAAUUGAACCACUGCAAUCAUUGAUUCAUUAUCAUGAUGCCAUAGCUGAUUUUGCCUUUAGAAACAUUUAAUACUAAAGCAGUGGCGAAAAGGACAUAGAAGAUACUCUUGCUCCUACUAAACACAUCAAACAGCAAGACUCAUUGAAAUAAAUCAUAUAUUUGUAUUUAGAAAGCCACUGACUCAAUUCAAUUCUCUAUCUCCCUUAACUUUUGUCCUUAUUACAGGAGCUCAAACACUUCAAACGGAAUUAGGAACAAGUAGAAACCAUCUAUCUACAUGGAGGGUGUUCACGUGUUCGAGAAAAGAUUAAGGAUGCUGACCUUGAUUUCCAUUGGCG